This 204-nucleotide unclassified non-coding RNA is filed under the name Hevea brasiliensis (rubber tree). Lineage: Eukaryota; Viridiplantae; Streptophyta; Magnoliopsida; Malpighiales; Euphorbiaceae. The record is from RNAcentral.
GGACUCUCUGUGGAAGUUGGUUUUCGUUGCAUUUGGUGGUAGCGUGGCUUGAAGCGUGGUAGGGGAAAAGAUAGGUAAAUGUUCUAGUGUCACUGUCGGUGAGGCUAGCCUGUAAGUAUCGGAAAGACGCUUCGAGAGCAAUUUACGAAGCGCCAUUGAUGAGGGAGAAGCUGAGGCCAGGCGUAUAGAAAGCGGAAAGUUUUG